GGCCGGUUGGCGCAAUGGUAGCGCGUGGCCCUCCUAUACACUCCGUCUUCAGACGUUGGAAUAGGCCAAGGUUGCAGGUUCGAGUCCUGCAUCGGUCG
Boeremia exigua is the source of this 98-nucleotide non-coding RNA. The record is from the annotation of a RefSeq genome assembly. Lineage: Eukaryota; Fungi; Ascomycota; Dothideomycetes; Pleosporales; Didymellaceae.